CCCAUUGGAGAGAGAGAGAGAGACGGAGAAAUUCUCGAGAGGAGGCGAUUUGGGCAAAAACCCAGGGUUCAGACUUGGGGGACACGAACGGGGUCGAUAAAAUUGGGCCUUUUAUGGGCCCGUAAUGUUUAAUCAUUGGGCUGAAAGCUGCAACAUAGUAGCCCAAUUUCAACUCGUAAAGUUUUCCGCGUUUUUUCCCCUAUCACGGACAAAACAGGC
Long non-coding RNA from Arabidopsis thaliana (thale cress), 219 nucleotides. RefSeq annotates it as other RNA. The transcript has a single exon. The record is from RefSeq. Lineage: Eukaryota; Viridiplantae; Streptophyta; Magnoliopsida; Brassicales; Brassicaceae.